This 491-nucleotide long non-coding RNA is filed under the name Homo sapiens (human). RNAcentral describes it as "HSALNT0355018". The record is from RNAcentral. Lineage: Eukaryota; Metazoa; Chordata; Mammalia; Primates; Hominidae.
AGUGGCAGGGGAGCUGGGGGCUCCCCGGCGGAAGUAGCGCGAGAGGCUGGACAGCAGCGUGCUCUACAAGAAAAAAAGUGGCUUGAGUCAAGAAAUGAAGGUGGAGCUUGGGAAGCUAGCGUGAGGUAUUCCAGGACCUCAUGGCAUAGGACGCUUACCUGUCCAAUAGAACGGAAUGUUUCAUUCAAUCCAGUGACUUGAGCAAGCGCCUCUCUCCUGAAUCUACUGUUUCUCAAGAAUAAUGAGUUUUGAUGCAGCUAGUUAGCAAAAGGCAGGAACACAAAAGCAACUGAACCUUCCAGGUGCUUAAUAUUUAAAGAUCCUUAAUACUUGCAGCAGCAUUAGAAAGAGAAUUAGUGUAAAACUCCCAGGUAUUGAACCAGGACUAAGCACUCUUAUUCCCAGUGAACUGUCACAACAAACCUCUGGGAUAAGAGCUAUUAUUACUCCCAUUUUAUAGACCAGAACAAUGAAACUACUCCCAGAGGCAG